AUGAAGGUGCGGCUCAUGAAUUGUGUGCCGUUGUCGGUGAUGAUCCUGUUAGGGAUCCCGAAACGGCAAACAAUCGACCUGAAGAACUUGACUGCUGACUGUGCUGUCACCUUCCUCACUGGUUCCACUUCCGGCCACUUUGUGAACUUGUCGAUUGCAACGUACAGGUACUCAAAGCCCCCGACAGCUCGGGGAAAGGGGCCGAGGAUGUUGAGCCCCCAGACCGAAAAUGGCAUGGAUAAAGGGAUCAUCUGGGAGCUUGAGCUGGCUUGUGUAUCUGCUUGGAAUGGAACUGGCACGCUUCACACUUGGUUACUUGUGCAGUUGCAUCCUGGAGGGCUGUCGGCCAAAAGAAACCUUGUCAGAACGCUUUGCCGGCAAGUGCUCUUGCGCCAAUGUGGUCACCACAUAUGCCUCCAUGUAUCUCUGCCAACAACUUUUGUCCGUCUUCCCGGUGAAUACACUUCAAUUUCACACUGUUGA
RNAcentral lists this ribosomal RNA (483 nucleotides) under Triticum aestivum (bread wheat). Its description in RNAcentral is "partial small subunit ribosomal RNA". Lineage: Eukaryota; Viridiplantae; Streptophyta; Magnoliopsida; Poales; Poaceae. The record is from RNAcentral.